RNAcentral lists this ribosomal RNA (380 nucleotides) under uncultured eukaryote. Its description in RNAcentral is "partial 18S ribosomal RNA". It matches the Rfam family "Eukaryotic small subunit ribosomal RNA", at positions 592 to 976 of the family's 1831-position model. The record is from RNAcentral.
CAAUAGCGUAUAUUAAAGUUGUUGCGGUUAAAAAGCUCGUAGUUGGAGUUCUGCCAGGUGACACUCGUCCGCCCAAGUGGUGUGUACAGGGUGUGCAUCUGGCCCUUUCAAGGGGAACGUGUCUGCACUUCAUUGUGUGGUGCGAGAUCCUUGACUUUUACUUUGAGGAAAUAAGAGUGUUCCAAGCAGGCUCUCGUCGUGCAUAGCUCAGCAUGGAAUAAUAGCAUUGGACUUCGUUUCUACGCUGUUGGUUGCAAGAAGCGAGGUAAUGAUGAAGAGGGAUAGUUGGGGGCAUUCGUAUUUAACUGUCAGAGGUGAAAUUCUUGGAUUCGUUAAAGACGGACUACUGCGAAAGCAUCUGCCAUGGAUGUUUUCAUUGA